Molecule: non-coding RNA, 148 nt
Filed under: Homo sapiens (human)
Lineage: Eukaryota; Metazoa; Chordata; Mammalia; Primates; Hominidae
Source: Rfam by way of RNAcentral
GCUGGGCGUGGUGGUGCACGCCUGUAAUCCCAGCUACUUGGGAGGCUGAGGCAGAAGAAUCACUUGAACCCAGGAGGCGGAGGUUGCAGUGAGCCGAGAUCGCGCCACUGCACUCCAGCCUGGGUGACAGAGGGAGACUCCAUCUCAA